RNAcentral lists this long non-coding RNA (812 nucleotides) under Canis lupus familiaris (dog). RNAcentral's name for it is "lncRNA (ENSCAFG00845012389.1)". Lineage: Eukaryota; Metazoa; Chordata; Mammalia; Carnivora; Canidae. The record is from RNAcentral.
CAGUUCCUUUUUGGAGAACUGGGACUGGGACUUAGGAGCUGGAGGGAGACAAGAUGUCUCUGAAGAUGCAGAGUGAGGAAAAACGGAUUCGAUUUAUCCAGGUUGGAAAAAGAAACAUGAAGAGUGUCUGCUAUUGUCAUUCAUUGCUGCGAUCCCUCAGGGUUCUGGAAUUGUUUGCUUCCUGAAGAGUGUGCUGCUUACUGACGCAGGCCGUCCAGAUGCCCAAGGGGAGUGUCUCCGGGUUGCAGAUGUGCUCUAAGCACCUUCCCUGGAAAUCACAGAACUUCAGACCCCCUAAGGAAGGCGAAAAGCUCCCUGAGGAAUCGUGGUGGGGUUCUGGAAACCUGAAGGCCUGCGGCCACAGGCAGUGCUGCUUAGGUGAACUCUCCUCGCAGGAGCUGAAGGCCCGGACUCCAUGGUCUUCUGGGCCUUUCCUCACAGGAGUGGUUGGUCCAGUGAUGUUUCCAGAAGACCUCCUUUCCGCUUCUUCACUGCGUCGAGUCCAUCCCAUCUGACACCAGAGGCCUGUCCAGGAGGCCUGUCCCGGCCUGACUUUCCUGAGAGCAGGGCCAAGACAAAGGCGUGAACCCAGGAGGCUGCCGCCUGCCCUUCACGGCAAGUCUGGGUCUGGUUUCCUGUGAAUGUAGAGCUUUGAAUUCAGUCUACGGAUGUCUAAGCUUCUGUGGGACGGUGGGGUCCCCCUGGGUGCCCGGGGCAGGUUUUGCCCUCCUGCUUCCCCUUAGCACCCAGGCCAGGGCUCACAUCUCGCUUGGCCUAUAACUUUUUUCUUUUUUUAAGAUUUUAUUUUAUUU